RNAcentral lists this ribosomal RNA (426 nucleotides) under uncultured bacterium. RNAcentral's name for it is "bacterial SSU rRNA". It matches the Rfam family "Bacterial small subunit ribosomal RNA", at positions 335 to 753 of the family's 1533-position model. The record is from RNAcentral.
ACUCCUACGGGAGGCAGCAGUGGGGAAUAUUGCACAAUGGGCGCAAGCCUGAUGCAGCCAUGCCGCGUGUGUGAAGAAGGCCUUCGGGUUGUAAAGCACUUUCAGUUGUGAGGAAGGUGGUGUCGUUAAUAGCGGCAUCAUUUGACGUUAGCAACAGAAGAAGCACCGGCUAACUCCGUGCCAGCAGCCGCGGUAAUACGGAGGGUGCGAGCGUUAAUCGGAAUUACUGGGCGUAAAGCGCAUGCAGGUGGUUUGUUAAGUCAGAUGUGAAAGCCCGGGGCUCAACCUCGGAACUGCAUUUGAAACUGGCAGACUAGAGUACUGUAGAGGGGGGUAGAAUUUCAGGUGUAGCGGUGAAAUGCGUAGAGAUCUGAAGGAAUACCGGUGGCGAAGGCGGCCCCCUGGACAGAUACUGACACUCAGAUG